UACGUAGGUGGCAAGCGUUGUCCGGAAUUAUUGGGCGUAAAGCGCGCGCAGGCGGUCCUUUAAGUCUGAUGUGAAAGCCCACGGCUCAACCGUGGAGGGUCAUUGGAAACUGGGGGACUUGAGUGCAGAAGAGGAGAAUGGAAUUCCUGGUGUAGCGGUGAAAUGCGCAGAUAUCAGGAAGAACACCCGUGGCGAAGGCGGUUCUCUGGGACGGUACUGACGCUGAGACGCGAAAGCGUGGGGAGCGAACAGG
Molecule: ribosomal RNA, 253 nt
Filed under: uncultured bacterium
Lineage: Bacteria
Description: partial 16S ribosomal RNA
Rfam family: Bacterial small subunit ribosomal RNA
Source: RNAcentral